RNAcentral lists this ribosomal RNA (253 nucleotides) under uncultured bacterium. Its description in RNAcentral is "partial 16S ribosomal RNA". It matches the Rfam family "Bacterial small subunit ribosomal RNA", at positions 524 to 776 of the family's 1533-position model. The record is from RNAcentral.
UACAGAGGUCCCGAGCGUUGUUCGGAUUCACUGGGCGUAAAGGGUGCGUAGGUGGUGAGGUAAGUCGGAUGUGAAAUCUCCGGGCUUAACCCGGAAACUGCAUUGGAAACUACCUUGCUGGAGGGUUUGAGGGGGGACUGGAAUUCUCGGUGUAGCAGUGAAAUGCGUAGAUAUUGGGAAGAACACCGGUGGCGAAGGCGGCUCUCUGGACCGAUACUGACGCUGAGGCGCGAAAGCGUGGGGAGCAAACAGG